Molecule: unclassified non-coding RNA, 272 nt
Filed under: Hevea brasiliensis (rubber tree)
Lineage: Eukaryota; Viridiplantae; Streptophyta; Magnoliopsida; Malpighiales; Euphorbiaceae
Source: RNAcentral
UCCUGCUGUACCCUUGCUGUCCCAAAUUCAGCCGGUAGAUCUCCAGCAUCAGCCUCUUAUCGGUCAAGAUAUUUCCCCUAGUGGCGGGAAUCGUGUAGAUAAGCCAGCCGAUGGGUUUGUGAAGUUGCUUACCAUGACACCUCAAGAAAAAAUUGAAAAACUUAGAAGAAGGCAACAGAUGCAGGCAAUGCUUGCCAUUCAAAAACAACAGCAACAGUUCAAUAAUCAAGUCUCUACUACUAGUCAAUGUAUUUCUCCGAAAUGUCCCCAAG